Rattus norvegicus (Norway rat) is the source of this 1291-nucleotide non-coding RNA. Lineage: Eukaryota; Metazoa; Chordata; Mammalia; Rodentia; Muridae. The record is from RefSeq and is a predicted model, not a curated record.
CCAAACUGAAUCUGGGACGAGAGAGGAGGAUGUUUAGAGACAGGAUGUACUGCCACCAUCCUGAGACUUCAACCAUCCAUCUGCAACCACUGGCCACUCCCUUUAUUCUAUGAAGAAACAGAGACCCAGUGGGAUAAGGGCUUUAACUAAAUCAUGGAGCUAAUCAGCCCCAGCCCUCUGGCCCACCACCAUGCCCACCCCUAGGUCUCCUGUGAAAGACCUGGCACUCAUUGAGGCCUCAAGUGGUCUUUCUCUACUGGGCUGCCAGGAUACCUACAGUCACCAAGGGCAACAUCCUUCUCAGCUGUCAGGCAGGUCAAAGAGCAGCAACAUGAGCUGGAGAGUAGACUUGGAGAAGGAAAGAGGCAAAGAAAGAGAUCCAUCCAUGCUGAGACAUGCAGAUGCACCUUACACAUGGACACAAACCUCAGAUCUGCACGCCCCAGCCUUUGCCAAUCCCAUCAUGCACACUGGACUAUGCACACUGUGUGUGCUUAACCUGCCUGGAUUUGCACGUCCAUUGACAUGACGUGAAUGAAGGUUCUAUUUCCCUCAUACCUCUGCUAGACCUGAGCGUCAACUGGGCAUUUUCCAGUCCAAAUACUUCGGUGGCUAAGGGCUUCUGUAGAGACACAGGCUAAAUGUCGGUAGCUACACAUGGUCCCAGCAUCUAAUAUGAGAGCAGACAUGAGAAGCCCUAUGGACCAUCGAAGACUAUGGUGGUGCAGUGACACGCACCGGGCUCUGGAACCCUCAGGGUGCCCUGGGGAAACAGUACUUCAGCAAGCUCUGACCUGCAUCCAAUACCCAGAGUAUUCUACAGAUUAAGUCCCUGACCUGAGUGAGCCUUGAGCAGUUGACUAAGACCUUACCAGUUGACUUUCUCUGGAACUUUCCUGGGUCUGCCCUCUAGCACCAGCCUUGGGAACCCCUCAAGGAAGCCUGUAAAACUAGGGUCCUCACUGUGUCCUCUCUGCAGUUCCAUUCCAACAUCCAAACACCCUUCUGAGCUGAACUCAUCAGGGAAGCCCAUGGGGCUGAUCCAAGUCAUUCAUCCACAUGACAGUGAUACCUCUUGUCACCCCAUUGGGACUCACUCAGAGAAAGUUUUCAAAGGAAGCUUCUUACCUGUAGGGCUCUGCCUAGGUCCUCUCCAUAUGGGAUAUGGGGCCCGGAGCCAGGUAAAGACAUGUUACCUCGGGGCAGCUCUGUUCAGGUGUCUGAGCAUGACGUUAGCACGGAAAUGGAUUGGCUCCAGAGAGCAGUUCUCCCUCCCAGAAAUAUAGGUGGG